AUGGAUCAUCUUAUCAUGGAUGACGUCCUCGCGACGCCGAUCACCACACAAUCAUCAUGUUGCGGCAUCGCACCGCAACUAACCAUCAACGCCAUCGUGCUGCCAAUAGCGCCCACCUUGCGCCGUCUUGCCGUGGACGACGCUGUCGUGGCGCCGAGUACCACGACCUCUUGCCGCAUGCAGCGGCCAUGUCUUCACGUGGACGACGCCUUCGCGGCGCCGAUCGCCACGCCGUCUUCUCCUCAUAACGGCCUCGUGCCGUCGUACCUCCCAUCGGCGUCACACCGUCGUCUUGUGGCAGCUUCGCACCGCCAUCAUCUAGCGGCAUCACACCGCAACCGGCCACCGGCAGCAUCGCGCCGCCGACGGCCACCCACCUCGUGCCGACGUCCUCCACCUCACAUGGAGUCCGCCGCGUCGUCGUCGCCGCCAUCGCUUCCGCGGAUCGACAAGGCUCUAAUGCCAAUCGUUGGCGCCGCCUCCUCGCAGCGCCGCUCUUCUUCUUCUACCUCGAGCUGCCUCGCACAACUCUCUCUUCUCUCUUCUAUGGUUUCUCUCAAGAACACCUGA
Molecule: ribosomal RNA, 570 nt
Filed under: Triticum aestivum (bread wheat)
Lineage: Eukaryota; Viridiplantae; Streptophyta; Magnoliopsida; Poales; Poaceae
Description: partial small subunit ribosomal RNA
Source: RNAcentral